This is a long non-coding RNA of Paramisgurnus dabryanus, 1440 nucleotides long. RefSeq lists it as uncharacterized. The record is from RefSeq and is a predicted model, not a curated record. Lineage: Eukaryota; Metazoa; Chordata; Actinopteri; Cypriniformes; Cobitidae.
UGUGACUCCAUUGAAUGUUCUUGUGUGAUAAAGAAAGUCUCUCUUUUUGUGUGUGGUGUGUGUGUGAUGUAGAUUAAAUAUGACCGGGCCAAAACUGACAUGGCAGCAGGUCAAAAUCAAAAUCUGCAGAAUGCAGUGAAAAAGAAUACCCAGAGACAAGGCACGGGUGGUGGGUCACCAAAAGCUGACCUCACCCCAGCUGAGGCCAGCUUUGGAGCUAAAUAAAGGCAGGCCUGUUGGAGGGGAUCCCUGGGGGAAAAGAGACAAGCAUAGGUCCCUCACAAGAUGCCACCCGCUUCAUACAAGUGUCUGGCAGCACUGUGUUAUUGUUAAACCCACCAGCACGAGCACCAGACGAUGCUGAUCCAGUGAGUACUCCAUCAAAGGCAUACUGUAGGCCUGGCACGUCUUAUCUACUAGCUUCAAUAUGAAUCUGAUAAAUGUGAUCGGGUCAAGGCCCCAUUUCAUCAGCACAUAACGGUGAUGAUGAUGAGGAGACCAUCUCUCUGGAUUCCAAAAGGCAUAAGGACCCAGUGUCAUUGGUGCACUGGACUGCACACACAUAAGGAUAAAAGCCCCCUCAGGUGCCCAUGAGGCAGAUUUUGUAAAUAUGAAAUCUUUUCACAGCAUUAAAGACCCACCAUGCAGUUAUUUUAUCUUAAUAUAACAGCUUCAAAGUUAUUUCGGUGGUAAACAACGUCAUAGUAGGGCGAUUCAUCCUCCUGUUGAAGCUCGGGGAGGACGCCGCUAGCAAAACCAGCAAUGCAAGCUUGAGAGAACCGCCCCUGACAAAUCUCGCGAGAAUCACGACUUGCUUUACGGCAACGACGUCACACACGUUAGGCUUGUUCGACUUCAUGCGGCGCUGCAAGAACCGACUGCCGGUUAUGUCAAAGUACCGCGAGAAUGAUCCGACACUGCACUUUGACGUCAUCCGGCACGCGCGAAUUUGAGACGUGAUGCUAAACGAUUUAAAAGUUAAGAAAGCGCAUUCGGAAGAGAGUAGGAAAAGGAAAAGAGAAUAUGACCGCGUUAGCAACCGGACAAGAGUCCCACUCGGUCAGACUUUUACUCGUUGGCGUGAGCUAAAAGACCGCAUUUUAUGGAACAGGGAUGCUGAUCUGGCGAUCUUGUUGAUGGACUAGUUAGUAAAUUUCUCUUAUUUGUAAAGUUGUUUGCGGUCUAUGUUGUAUGUUGUUGCUCUUGCUUGUAGUAUGUCAUGCGAUUAUCAUGACAACAGUUGUCAAUAUCUCACAUAAUUAUCAGGACAUAAAUAAGCGGUUGUAAAUAGUGUAAACAUGCACAAUUUGCAAACUAUUAUGAUAAAUAGCAAUAAUCAUGUAUAGUGACAUUAUAACGACCAAUAUGAAAUAAUGCAACGUACAUAAUUAACUUUGUCAUGGCAUUUUGUAAUGUUUACAUUACAAUAAAAGAACACAA